RNAcentral lists this ribosomal RNA (405 nucleotides) under uncultured bacterium. Its description in RNAcentral is "bacterial SSU rRNA". It matches the Rfam family "Bacterial small subunit ribosomal RNA", at positions 128 to 518 of the family's 1533-position model. The record is from RNAcentral.
GCCCUCGAGAUGGGGAUAGCCAUUAGAAAUAGUGGAUAAUACCGAAUACGCUCAUGACCCUGUGGGGAUAUGAGGAAAACAGGCUACGGCCUGGCUCGAGGAGUGGGCCCGCGUCCCAUUAGCUAGUUGGUGAGGUAACCGGCCCACCAAGGCGACGAUGGGUAUCCGGCCUGAGAGGGUGUACGGACACAUUGGGACUGAGAUACGGCCCAAACUCCUACGGGAGGCAGCAGCUAAGAAUAUUCCGCAAUGGACGAAAGUCUGACGGAGCGACGCCGCGUGGAUGAAGAAGGCCGGAAGGUUGUAAAAUCCUUUUUGCUGAUGAAGAAUAAGUGUGGUAGGGAAUGACCGCAUGAUGACAUUAGUCGGUGAAUAAGCCCCGGCUAACUACGUGCCAGCCGCGGC